This 312-nucleotide long non-coding RNA is filed under the name Rosa chinensis. RNAcentral describes it as "sRNA RchiOBHm_Chr4g0411671". Lineage: Eukaryota; Viridiplantae; Streptophyta; Magnoliopsida; Rosales; Rosaceae. The record is from RNAcentral.
GUUAUGAGUGUAUUGUAUUGUGUUUCGAUGAAAAAAGAUUGGAUAUUUGUUUUGUGCAUUGAUGAAAAUAUACUAAUAAUUAGUUAAAAGAUACUAAAUAAUUGAAAGAAUGACGCAGUCGCCUGGUGCCUGGAGUCAUGGUGUGUGUUUAGUAUUUUUCAUAAUUUUUGCUUUCCCAAUAUCAUGUGAAAUGACAACCAUGAAGAAAUAGAGUGGCAGAUGCUGUGCCUGAUUGACUGCCCAGCUUAUAGCUGUUGGUGGUCUUUAUGGUCAGCUAUGAUGUUGCCUUACUCAUCUGAGUACCCUAAUUGA